GACGAGCCACACGAACGUUAUUCGGAAUCACUGGGCUUAAAGGGUGCGUAGGCUGCGCAGAAAGUUGGGUGUGAAAUCCUACAGCUUAACUGUAGAAGUGCACUCAAAACUACUGUGCUCGAGGGAGACAGAGGUGAGCGGAACUGAGGGUGGAGCGGUGAAAUGCGUUGAUAUCCUCAGGAACACCGGUGGCGAAAGCGGCUCACUGGGUCUCUUCUGACGCUGAGGCACGAAAGCUAGGGUAGCGAACGGG
RNAcentral lists this ribosomal RNA (253 nucleotides) under uncultured bacterium. Its description in RNAcentral is "partial 16S ribosomal RNA". It matches the Rfam family "Bacterial small subunit ribosomal RNA", at positions 524 to 776 of the family's 1533-position model. The record is from RNAcentral.